GAGUUUGAUCCUGGCUCAGAUUGAACGCUGGCGGCAUGCCUAACACAUGCAAGUCGAACGGCAGCACUGGGAGCUUGCUCCCUGGUGGCGAGUGGCGGACGGGUGAGUAACGCGUAGGAAUCUGCCUCAUAGCGGGGGACAACUCGGGGAAACUCGAGCUAAUACCGCAUACUACUCGAGAGAGGAAAGCAGGGGACCUU
RNAcentral lists this ribosomal RNA (200 nucleotides) under uncultured microorganism. RNAcentral's name for it is "partial 16S ribosomal RNA". It matches the Rfam family "Bacterial small subunit ribosomal RNA", at positions 9 to 214 of the family's 1533-position model. The record is from RNAcentral.